GCCUGGAAAGACAUCAGCAACUUAAAAACUAUAUUACAUAAUGAACACCGAUCAUUCGUUAGCUAAGUUAUUUCGAUUAAAAAAUGAGAUUUUGAGAUACGACGUUAUAACCAGUGUGCGGAAAUUUUAUGAGGGCUCUCGCGAUGUUCAUAUUUAUCGAUGAAAUGGUCCGUUACAGCGCGUGCAUUGGCGUAGUUUACUUGGGGUUUAUACAAUUAAUGUUACCGGUCGCUUACAAAAAUCUAAUUAAAACAUAAAUAUUAUUGUUUUAUUAUAAUUACGGAGUACCCAAGAAAAAUUGUGGCAAUAAAAUAAUCGCUAAUUUAUUAAGACUGCGGUAUAUUUGUUGAGAUUAUUUUCUGAACCAAUUUUAAAAUAGCUUCUGAUUGGCUAGUUCAAACCCUGACAAGGCAUCUUACAUGGACACCAAUGAAGAUGUUUAAUACAGGGGAGCGUAAGUCACUAUUACAUUUUGAAAAUGUUGCGUUUUAAUUCAGUGGAAAUUAAAAUUAAAAACUAAAUAAAAAUAUUUUAAUCAUUUUCUCUGAGAAAUUCGCUUGAAUAACUGUGAUUCUUUCUAAAUUCUCGAAAACUGAUUCCGUUUUGCGGUUAAAAUAUCUUUGAAUUUCGAAAAAGAUCUUUCUACAUCACAGCUGGUUACAGGAGUAAAUAAAAAGUUUGGUGCUAAUGCAAAAUAUGUCGAAGGUGCUACAUUAUUCGCUAUUUGUUUUAAAACUAGAAAAUCGGGAUUUCUAGUAACUGCGUCAAUUUUUGCAUUAAAUUUAUCUUGUAAUGACCAUUCUACAGAUUUUAACUCUAUCAAAGUAGACUCAAAUUUCUCAACUGUAAUGGAUAAUUUUAAAUUUUACGUUUCUAGAAAUUUGAUCGUAGUUGGAAUAUUUGAAAAAUUGUUUUCAAUAAAAUUAAGUUGAGAAACUAAAUUUGUGGUUAAAACUAAAGUUUUACAUUGAUUAAUGCUUUGUGCAUCGUCGUUUAAAGCAAUAAACAAAUGAUUUUAAUUGAUUAAAAUUUUUAGAAAUUUGCUUCUAACCAAGUACCCCAGCUUGUAACUACAAUUGUUGAUUCGUCAGAAACGUUACGAUUUGUAUAUUUUUUUUUAAAAGGACUUUAAAGAAGGAUUAUUUAGUUAUCUACAAAAUGUGCUCGAGGUGAAAGCGCAGCGUAUUUCCCUUUGAAACGUGGUGUGGUUGAAAACACUUCAAGGGCUAAAAAUGGUAAAUAAUUAAAAAAAUAUUAAUGUCACACCAAAGAAUACUUAGAAAUGAAUUACAAUUUCGUAAUUUAGUUCUACUGGGUCACUUUUAUGCUUUUUAAAUAAGUACAUGAGAUAAAAAUGUUCUUUUGACUUUUUAGAUAUUAUUAAAAUUAACAGAGAGUUAGGGCGGUUAAAAGUAAAGGUAUAAUUAAUAGAUAAGUGACAUUAAUUAUUUUUUAAUUAUUUACGAAUUACGAUUUUUAGCUCUCGAAAUGUUAUCAAAGGCGAUGAACACGCUUCAGAGGGAAAUACGGUUCGGUUUCACCUCAGGCGCAUUUUGCAGUAAUUUAAAAUUGCAAUAACUUGGUGAGUCUUACAGAUAACGAAAUGAUUCUUGCACCAAAAAUUUAUUUCAAGUAUUAGCUUUAUUUCGUCUCGACUAUGUGGGAGUCUAUCUUUUAAAUUAAAAAACUUUCUCGCAUCUCGAAAAUUUUACUACACAAUUAUGCAACGUUACAAGAAAAUGUAAUUUUUUUGGUUUCCCUUUAUCAAAACUCAACCUUGUUAAACUACGUAUAAAUCUGCAUUUAUUGAAAAUUUGUUUGCAAAAAAACGGAGUUUCUAGCUUUAUCCAGAAGGAAGAUAUGAGUAUGUAAACGCAAAAUGUGUCCAAUUUUAGGUGUUUGCAAAUUUUUAGCCAAAACGUCUUUUCAGUCCCUUCGCGAGAGUUGAAACAAAAAAUUCCUUGACUAAACAUUUUUUAAUACUCUUUCCUAACUUAUAUCAACAAUGCAAGCUGUUCCACAACAUUUCGAUUUAAAGGUUUAUCUGACUGCAAGCGCGCGCCCAUGCACUAACCUUCGCCCAUAAGAUUUCCUCACACUGGUUAUAACACCUAGCCACAGCUUCCUUGAUUAAUGAAGGAACUUUCCCUUCACACGGCUGGCCGCAUUGCUUAGUUCCUUGGCACAUUUUUGUUUCUGAGAGGGAGCCACUAUAAAGUAAAACAAUUCUGACAGUUCUAAGGUUAAGUGUUGUCACAUGCUGUCAGUGCAGAAAAUUUCUAAGGCAAAACGCAUUAGUUUUAGCUGUAUAGUUGUAGAAAACGUAUUCUACAAACAUUUGGCACGUGUUUUUACUAUGAGGAACCAAAAGCGCAUGUUGCCAUGUGAGUGACCAAGAGCAUAUGCCAAGAGCGAACUGCGAAACACAAAACGAACGUAAAAAGCGUCAUACAAACUUGAACAUUUUGCCGAAUACAGCAACUAAUAGAUGGCGCUACAAUAAAGUAAGCUCUCAAAAAACACUUUUUUUGUUCAAUGCGACCAGCCGUGUAAAGGGUACCUCCCUUCACUAAUCAAGGAAGCUGUGCACCUAGCAAACGUUUAGUCUGUGGUGGGAGAACCCUCUAUGAUUCAGUCCUAUUUCAGGACUGUGCAGUUAGGGACAAUAUUUUCAAAAAUAACUUGUGUGAAACAAGGACACAAAAAAUAGCUUGCAAGAACAAAAAAGCCAAAAAAUAAGACUGUAGGCACAAAAAUAAUAGCUGCAACACCAAAAACUGGAAUAAAUUGGUUUAAAAUUUAAAAAUUGUGACAUCACAACAUUCUGGCGGACAUUCGGGCAUGUGACUUAUUGGUGGACGUCACAUGAUGUUACGCCAGCUGCGCAGAAGGCAAGAGCGAGACAGUCGGUAACGAGGAGUGGCACGGGUUACGUCGAGAAGCCACGUAUUAGUGAAUUUCUGGUGUAAUUAAUUAAAAAGCGAAUAAAGGCGUUUUAAAGUAAAAUCUGAGUGUAACAAAUCAAAAAUGGGAUCAAGAUCGGCGUCUGGGGCGGUGAAGAAAGGCGACGUGAACAAGAUGGCGGAUUUUUUGUGCAAAACGACGCCAUUUUGGGGCGAGCGACUGGACGACGGGAGUGCAAAAGGUGAGUACGAACGUCAGAUGAGUGGUGCACGAGUUCGUAAAUGAGAUUUUCAGCAAGAAUUUGGCGACAAAGGUAGCGAGAUCAAAGAUUGCUACAAUUGUCAAGAAUAUGGGUCGCACUUCAGCUGACAUUGUCCGACACAUUAACACAAAGCGGAGAUAACAGUGUUCCAAUCACCAACUUAGACAUGGGAAAGCUGAGGUGGAAGGCGAAACGAAUAAUAGGACGGGCGGAGAAGUGCACAGAGCAAGAGGCGGUAACUAAUGUGUUACAGUGAGGACACUAAAGUGCUGCUGGAUGGCCGACUGUUAGAUCACAAAAUUCUGGCGGGACUUUGGGCGCGAUCUUCCGGCAUGUGUCGCAUUGGUGGACGUCACCGCAGAAGGCGAGAGCGCGAGCCAGUCGACAAUCAAGUGAAUUUCUGGUGUAAUGUAUUAAAAAGUGAAUAAAGGCGAUUUAAAGCAAAUUCUAAUUUUAAAUU
Molecule: long non-coding RNA, 3626 nt
Organism: Tribolium castaneum (red flour beetle)
Lineage: Eukaryota; Metazoa; Arthropoda; Insecta; Coleoptera; Tenebrionidae
Exons: 3
Source: RefSeq, a predicted model, not a curated record